This 443-nucleotide ribosomal RNA is filed under the name uncultured bacterium. Its description in RNAcentral is "partial 16S ribosomal RNA". It matches the Rfam family "Bacterial small subunit ribosomal RNA", at positions 338 to 795 of the family's 1533-position model. The record is from RNAcentral.
CCUACGGGUGGCAGCAGUGGGGAAUAUUGGACAAUGGGGGGAACCCUGAUCCAGCGACGCCGCGUGAGUGAAGAAGUAUUUCGGUAUGUAAAGCUCUAUCAGCAGGGAAGAAAGAAAUGACGGUACCCGACUAAGAAGCCCCGGCUAACUACGUGCCAGCAGCCGCGGUAAUACGUAGGGGGCAAGCGUUAUCCGGAUUUACUGGGUGUAAAGGGAGCGUAGACGGCGAUGCAAGUCUGAAGUGAAAGGCGGGGGCCCAACCCCCGGACUGCUUUGGAAACUGUAUGGCUGGAGUGCAGGAGAGGUAAGUGGAAUUCCUAGUGUAGCGGUGAAAUGCGUAGAUAUACGGAGGAACACCAGUGGCGAAGGCGGAUUGCUGGACAGUAACUGACGCUGAGGCGCGAAAGCGUGGGGAGCAAACAGGAUUAGAUACCCGUGUAGUC